This 346-nucleotide ribosomal RNA is filed under the name uncultured bacterium. RNAcentral describes it as "partial 16S ribosomal RNA". It matches the Rfam family "Bacterial small subunit ribosomal RNA", at positions 338 to 681 of the family's 1533-position model. The record is from RNAcentral.
CCUACGGGAGGCAGCAGUGAGGAAUAGUGGUCAAUGGGCGCGAGCCUGAACCAGCCAAGUAGCGUGAAGGAUGACUGCCCUACGGGUUGUAAACUUCUGUUAUAAAGGAAUAAAGUGAGGCACGUGUGCCUUUUUGUAUGUACUUUAUGAAUAAGGAUCGGCUAACUCCGUGCCAGCAGCCGCGGUAAUACGGAGGAACCGAGCGUUAUCCGGCUUUAGUGGGUUUAAAGGGAGCGUAGAUGGGUUGUUAAGUCAGUUGUGAAAGUUUGCGGCUCAACCGUAAAAUUGCAAUUGAUACUGGCAGUCUUGCGUACAGUUGAGGUAGGCGGAAUUCGUGUUGUAGCGG